UGCGUAGGCGGGUCUUUAAGUCAGGGUGAAAUCCUGGAGCUCAACUCCAGAACUGCCUUUGAUACUGAAGAUCUUGAGUUCGGGAGAGGUGAGUGGAACUGCGAGUGUAGAGGUGAAAUUCGUAGAUAUUCGCAAGAACACCAGUGGCGAAGGCGGCUCACUGGCCCGAUACUGACGCUGAGGCACGAAAGCGUGGGGAGCAAACA
Molecule: ribosomal RNA, 206 nt
Filed under: uncultured bacterium
Lineage: Bacteria
Description: partial 16S ribosomal RNA
Rfam family: Bacterial small subunit ribosomal RNA
Source: RNAcentral